Molecule: ribosomal RNA, 852 nt
Filed under: uncultured archaeon
Lineage: Archaea
Description: bacterial SSU rRNA
Rfam family: Archaeal small subunit ribosomal RNA
Source: RNAcentral
UUCCGGUUGAUCCUGCCAGACCUGACUGCUAUCGGAUUGAUACUAAGCCAUGCGAGUCAUUGUAGUAAUACAAGGCAUACGGCUCAGUAACGCGUAGCCAACCUAACCUAUGGACGGGAAUAACCUCGGGAAACUGAGUAUAAUUCCCGAUAGAACAUUAUGCCUGGAAUGGUUUAUGUUCCAAAUGAUUUAUCGCCGUAGGAUGGGACUGCGGCCUAUCAGUUUGUUGGUGAGGUAAUGGCCCACCAAGACUAUUACAGGUACGGGCUCUGAGAGGAGUAGCCCGGAGAUGGGUACUGAGACACGGACCCAGGCCCUAUGGGGCGCAGCAGGCGAGAAAACUUUGCAAUGUGCGAAAGCACGACAAGGUUAAUCCGAGUGGUUUCUGCUAAAGGAACCUUUUGUUAGUCCUAGAAACACUAACGAAUAAGGGGUGGGCAAGUUCUGGUGUCAGCCGCCGCGGUAAAACCAGCACCUCAAGUGGUCAGGAUGAUUAUUGGGCCUAAAGCAUCCGUAGCCGGCUCUGUAAGUUUUCGGUUAAAUCUGUACGCUCAACGUACAGGCUGCCGGGAAUACUGCAGAGCUAGGGAGUGGGAGAGGUAGACGGUACUCGGGAGGAAGGGGUAAAAUCCUUUGAUCUUUCGAUGACCACCUGUGGCGAAGGCGGUCUACCAGAACACGUCCGACGGUGAGGGAUGAAAGCUGGGGGAGCAAACCGGAUUAGAUACCCGGGUAGUCCCAGCUGUAAACUAUGCAAACUCAGUGAUGCAUUGACUUGUGGUCAAUGCAGUGCUGCAGGGAAGCCGUUAAGUUUGCCGCCUGGGAAGUACGUACGCAAGUAUGAAACUUAAA